This 219-nucleotide long non-coding RNA is filed under the name Apteryx rowi (Okarito brown kiwi). Its description in RNAcentral is "lncRNA (ENSARWG00000014432.1)". The record is from RNAcentral. Lineage: Eukaryota; Metazoa; Chordata; Aves; Apterygiformes; Apterygidae.
GUUUCCAAUAACUCGAUGGCACACCGGACCGCAGGAGAAUGUGAUGGAGAACAGCAGCUGAGGAAGGAAAGGCCGUUGCAGCGGGUAGAUAGUUGGGGAGCCACAUGCUGAAGCAGAAGAGUUUCCCMGCCGGAUGCAUCUCACAGAUCCCCAGACAGCUGACGUUCCCAGGAAGGGCAAGUCCCGCUGCAUUCUGGGGCAGGGCUGUCAGGGUGCGGG